CCUACGGGCGGCAGCAGUGAGGAAUAUUGGUCAAUGGGCGGAAGCCUGAACCAGCCAAGUCGCGUGAGGGAUUAAGGCCCUGCGGGUCGUAAACCUCUUUUGCCGGGGAGCAGAGGUCCGGACGUGUCCGGGCCGGGAGAGUACCCGGAGAAAAAGCAUCGGCUAACUCCGUGCCAGCAGCCGCGGUAAUACGGAGGAUGCGAGCGUUAUCCGGAUUUAUUGGGUUUAAAGGGUGCGUAGACGGGCAUUUAAGCCGGCGGUCAAAUGUCGGGGCUCAACCCCGGCCUGCCGUCGGAACUGGGUGCCUUGAGUGGGCGAGAAGUAUGCGGAAUGCGUGGUGUAGCGGAGAAAUGCAGAGAUAUCACGCAGAACCCCGAUUGCGAAGGCAGCAUACCGGCGCCCUACUGACGCUGAGGCACGAAAGUGCGGGUAUCGAACAGGAUUAGAUACCCCAGUAGUC
RNAcentral lists this ribosomal RNA (460 nucleotides) under uncultured bacterium. Its description in RNAcentral is "partial 16S ribosomal RNA". It matches the Rfam family "Bacterial small subunit ribosomal RNA", at positions 338 to 795 of the family's 1533-position model. The record is from RNAcentral.